UGGGGAAUAUUGGACAAUGGGCGAAAGCCUGAUCCAGCCAUGCCGCGUGUGUGAAGAAGGUCUUCGGAUUGUAAAGCACUUUAAGUUGGGAGGAAGGGCAGUAAGCGAAUACCUUGCUGUUUUGACGUUACCGACAGAAUAAGCACCGGCUAACUCUGUGCCAGCAGCCGCGGUAAUACAGAGGGUGCAAGCGUUAAUCGGAAUUACUGGGCGUAAAGCGCGCGUAGGUGGUUCGUUAAGUUGAAUGUGAAAGCCCCGGGCUCAACCUGGGAACUGCAUCCAAAACUGGCGAGCUAGAGUAGGGCAGAGGGUGGUGGAAUUUCCUGUGUAGCGGUGAAAUGCGUAGAUAUAGGAAGGAACACCAGUGGCGAAGGCGACCACCUGGGCUCAUACUGACACUGAGGUGCGAAAGCGUGGGGAGCUAACAGG
This 429-nucleotide ribosomal RNA is filed under the name Pseudomonadota bacterium. RNAcentral's name for it is "Proteobacteria bacterium partial 16S ribosomal RNA". It matches the Rfam family "Bacterial small subunit ribosomal RNA", at positions 355 to 776 of the family's 1533-position model. The record is from RNAcentral. Lineage: Bacteria; Pseudomonadati; Pseudomonadota.